RNAcentral lists this ribosomal RNA (451 nucleotides) under uncultured bacterium. RNAcentral's name for it is "bacterial SSU rRNA". It matches the Rfam family "Bacterial small subunit ribosomal RNA", at positions 30 to 477 of the family's 1533-position model. The record is from RNAcentral.
AUUGAACGCUGGCGGCAUGCCUUACACAUGCAAGUCGAACGGCAGCACGGGAGCUUGCUCCUGGUGGCGAGUGGCGAACGGGUGAGUAAUAUAUCGGAACGUACCCUAGAGUGGGGAUAACGCAGCGAAAGUUGCGCUAAUACCGCAUACGAUCUACGGAUGAAAGUGGGGGAUCGCAAGACCUCAUGCUCAUGGAGCGGCCGAUAUCUGAUUAGCUAGUUGGUGGGGUAAAGGCCUACCAAGGCUUCGAUCAGUAGCUGGUCUGAGAGGACGACCAGCCACACUGGAACUGAGACACGGUCCAGACUCCUACGGGAGGCAGCAGUGGGGGAAUUUUGGACAAUGGGCGAAAGCCUGAUCCAGCAAUGCCGCGUGAGUGAAGAAGGCCUCGGGUUGUAAGUACUCUUUGUCUAGGGAAGGAAACGGUAGGACUCUAAUACAGAUCACUAAU